GACGAACGCUGGCGGCGUGCUUAACACAUGCAAGUCGAACGGAAAGGCCCUGCUUUUGUGGGGUGCUCGAGUGGCGAACGGGUGAGUAAAACGUGAGUAACCUGCCCUUGACUUUGGGAUAACUUCAGGAAACUGGGGCUAAUACCGGAUAGGAGCUCCUGCUGCAUGGUGGGGGUUGGAAAGUUUCGGCGGUUGGGGCUGGACUCGCGGCUUAUCAGCUUGUUGGUGGGGUAGUGGCUUACCAAGGCUUUGACGGGUAGCCGGCCUGAGAGGGUGACCGGCCCCAUUGGGACUGAGAUACGGCCCAGACUCCUACGGGAGGCAGCAGUGGGGAAUAUUCCACAAUGGGCGGAAGCCUGAUGCAGCAACGCCGCGUGCGGGAUGACGGCCUUCGGGUUGUAAACCGCUUUCGCCUGUGACGAAGCGUGAGUGACGGUAAUGGGUAAAGAAGCACCGGCUAACUACGUG
Molecule: ribosomal RNA, 468 nt
Filed under: uncultured bacterium
Lineage: Bacteria
Description: partial 16S ribosomal RNA
Rfam family: Bacterial small subunit ribosomal RNA
Source: RNAcentral